CACGACGUUGUAAAACGACGUUAUGCAUGAACGUAAUGCUCACAACUUCCCUCUAGACCUAGCUGCUGUUGAAGCUCCAUCCCUAAAUGGAUAAGACUUAGGCUUAGUGUAUAAGAGUUGUUGAAGGAGCAAUACCAACCCUCUUGAUAAAACAAGAAAAGUGGUAUUGCUCCUUCAUAUCAUAGAGUUUAUAGUUUAGUAAUGUUUUAUUCACAUAAGAUUUUUGCCAUUUUUUUUUAUGUUUAUGAGGGUAAGAAAAAGUUAAAAACUAAAACUAAAGUAAAUAAUGAUAAAUGUUAAAAAAUCUAUUCAUAUUCCGUUUUUUAAAGGGAGUGGGGGCGGAUGUAGCCAAGUGGAUUAAGGCAGUGGAUUGUGAAUCCACCAUGCGCGCCUGUGUGAAAUUGUUAUCAACCAGCAUUACGUUCAUGCAUAACGUCGUUUUACAACGUCGUGAAAAAAA
Molecule: unclassified non-coding RNA, 460 nt
Filed under: Grevillea reptans
Lineage: Eukaryota; Viridiplantae; Streptophyta; Magnoliopsida; Proteales; Proteaceae
Description: partial miscellaneous RNA
Rfam family: tRNA (bases 339-390)
Source: RNAcentral